CCGAGUUAUACAACUCCUCAACCCUGUGAACAUACCUAUACGUUGCCUCGGCGGAAUCAGCCGCUCCCGUAAAACGGGACGCCCCGCCAGAGGACCCCCUAACUCUGUCUCUAAUGUGUACUUCUGAGUAAACAAGCCAUAAUAAAUCA
Molecule: unclassified non-coding RNA, 149 nt
Filed under: soil metagenome
Description: partial internal transcribed spacer 1
Source: RNAcentral